CAGAGAAUAGUUUAAUUAAAAUAUUAAUUUUGGGGAUUGAUGAUGAAGGAUAUUCUUUUUCUCUGA
Molecule: transfer RNA, 66 nt
Filed under: Sigmella digitalis
Lineage: Eukaryota; Metazoa; Arthropoda; Insecta; Blattodea; Blattellidae
Description: tRNA-Pro
Source: RNAcentral